CCAUUUUACGGCCAGACUGCGAAUGGCUCAUUAAAUCAGUUAUCGUAUAUUUGACAGUUUCUUCCUACAUGGAUAACCGUGGUAAUUCUAGAGCUAAUACAUGCUAAAAACCUCAACUUUGGAAGGGGUGUAUUUAUUAGAUUAAAAACCAACGCCCCCCGGGGCUUAUUGGUUGAAUCAUGAUAACUUCUCGGAUCGCAUGGCCUUGUGCCGGGCGAUGGGUUCAUUCAAAUUUCUGCCCUAUCAACUUUCGACGGCUGGGUAUUGGCCAGCCGUGGUGACAACGGGUAACGGAGGGUUAGGGCUCGACCCCGGAGAAUCCGCCUGAGAGACGGCGAAUACAUCCAAGGAAGGCAGCAGGCGCGCAAAUUGCCCAAUGCCGACUCGGCGAGGCAGCGACAAGAAAUACUGAUACAGGGCUCUUUUGGGUCUUGUAAUUGGAAUGAGUACAAUUUAAAUCCCUUAACGAGGAACAACUAAAGGGCAAGUCUGGUGCCAGCAGCCGCGGUAAUUCCAGCUUUAGUAGCGUAUAUUAACGUUGUUGAGGUUAAAAAGCUCGUAGUUGAACCUUGGGCCUGACCGGCCGGUCCGCCUAAACGCGUGUACUGGUCCGGUUGGACCUUUCCCCUGGGGGAGCUGACAUGCCCUUUAUUGGGUGUGCUAGAUAUACCAGGACAGUUACUCUGAAUAAAUUAGAUCGCUUCAAGAAGGUCUAUGCUCGAAUAGUCUAGCAUGGAAAUAAUGAAAUAGGACGCGUGGUUCUAUUUUGUUGGUUUCUGGGACCGCCGUAAUGAUUAAUAGGGACAGUCGGGGGGCAUCAGUAUUUCAAUUUGUCAGAGGUGAAAUUCUUAGAUUUAUUGAAGACUAACUACUGCGAAAGCAUUUGCCAAGGAUGUUUUCAUUAAUCAGGAACGAAAGUCAGGGGAUCGAAGACGAUCAGAUACCGUCGUAGUCUUGACCAUAAACUAUGCCGAUCAGGGAUUGGACGGUGUUAAUAUUUGACCCGUUCGGCACCUGCGAAAAAUCAGAAUGUUGG
Molecule: ribosomal RNA, 1036 nt
Filed under: Camarotella sp.
Lineage: Eukaryota; Fungi; Ascomycota; Sordariomycetes; Phyllachorales; Phyllachoraceae
Description: bacterial SSU rRNA
Rfam family: Eukaryotic small subunit ribosomal RNA
Source: RNAcentral